This is a non-coding RNA of Schizosaccharomyces pombe (fission yeast), 611 nucleotides long. The record is from the annotation of a GenBank genome assembly. NCBI's taxonomy places the organism in Eukaryota, Fungi, Ascomycota, Schizosaccharomycetes, Schizosaccharomycetales, Schizosaccharomycetaceae.
AAAUAAAACCAUUUGUCCCCACAACUGUUUGUGAAAAAAUAAAAAUGAAAUGCGGUAGUCUGAAUGGAAUUUCACAGUGUUGACUUACUGUUUGCUAUAAAGUAUUUAAUUGAUACAAUCAUUUCAUCUCGUAGACUUUUAUUUAGUGCGACGAAAAAGCAUUCAGUCAAAAUUAAAAUGAGAAGACACUGUAGAACGAACAUUGUAAGAAAUUGGUUUAAUGUUUUUAGAAAAAAUUCUUUACCGCUUUCUUUUAUUAAACAGAAACAAGAUUACAGGUCUCCCUUGCUUUGGCUUUCACGGAAGUGUGUUGAAUUGGAUUUAUAAUUUAAGAUCAUACUUCGUGACAUAUACGCUGGCUAUUAAGUAUGCAAUUAGAGCCUUAGGAUUUUUUAGCUAUGGUCUAAGUGAUAAUCAGCUUUCGUGGAAAAGUUAUAUUUUAAUCAGAACAGUUGUCUAAGUGAUCUGUGGCUGUAAAACGUUAGAAAGCCGGUUUCUCAGAUAAAAUACCUUAACUACAAUCGAAUUACUAAUUACCUCAAAAAGUUUCGAUUCAUUUAGACUAAUCUUCGUACUCAUAAAAUAUUAUUUUUACAAUACAUAGUUAUAAA